UGCGUAGGCGGCCCGUUAAGUCGGGGUGAAAUACUUCGGCUCAACCGGAGAAUUGCCUUCGAUACUGGCGGGCUGGAGGAAGGUAGGGGUCGCGGGAACUGCCACGUGGAGCGGUGAAAUGCGUUGAUAUUGGCAGGAACGCCGGUGGUGAAGACGCGCGGCUGGACCUUUUCUUGACGCUGAGGCACGAAAGCCAGGGGAGCAAAACG
RNAcentral lists this ribosomal RNA (209 nucleotides) under uncultured bacterium. RNAcentral describes it as "partial 16S ribosomal RNA". It matches the Rfam family "Bacterial small subunit ribosomal RNA", at positions 568 to 775 of the family's 1533-position model. The record is from RNAcentral.